This 1552-nucleotide ribosomal RNA is filed under the name Salmonella enterica. RNAcentral describes it as "bacterial SSU rRNA". It matches the Rfam family "Bacterial small subunit ribosomal RNA". RNAcentral also lists the same sequence under 4 other names. The record is from RNAcentral. Lineage: Bacteria; Pseudomonadati; Pseudomonadota; Gammaproteobacteria; Enterobacterales; Enterobacteriaceae.
AAAUUGAAGAGUUUGAUCAUGGCUCAGAUUGAACGCUGGCGGCAGGCCUAACACAUGCAAGUCGAACGGUAACAGGAAGCAGCUUGCUGCUUUGCUGACGAGUGGCGGACGGGUGAGUAAUGUCUGGGAAACUGCCUGAUGGAGGGGGAUAACUACUGGAAACGGUGGCUAAUACCGCAUAACGUCGCAAGACCAAAGAGGGGGACCUUCGGGCCUCUUGCCAUCAGAUGUGCCCAGAUGGGAUUAGCUUGUUGGUGAGGUAACGGCUCACCAAGGCGACGAUCCCUAGCUGGUCUGAGAGGAUGACCAGCCACACUGGAACUGAGACACGGUCCAGACUCCUACGGGAGGCAGCAGUGGGGAAUAUUGCACAAUGGGCGCAAGCCUGAUGCAGCCAUGCCGCGUGUAUGAAGAAGGCCUUCGGGUUGUAAAGUACUUUCAGCGGGGAGGAAGGUGUUGUGGUUAAUAACCACAGCAAUUGACGUUACCCGCAGAAGAAGCACCGGCUAACUCCGUGCCAGCAGCCGCGGUAAUACGGAGGGUGCAAGCGUUAAUCGGAAUUACUGGGCGUAAAGCGCACGCAGGCGGUCUGUCAAGUCGGAUGUGAAAUCCCCGGGCUCAACCUGGGAACUGCAUUCGAAACUGGCAGGCUUGAGUCUUGUAGAGGGGGGUAGAAUUCCAGGUGUAGCGGUGAAAUGCGUAGAGAUCUGGAGGAAUACCGGUGGCGAAGGCGGCCCCCUGGACAAAGACUGACGCUCAGGUGCGAAAGCGUGGGGAGCAAACAGGAUUAGAUACCCUGGUAGUCCACGCCGUAAACGAUGUCUACUUGGAGGUUGUGCCCUUGAGGCGUGGCUUCCGGAGCUAACGCGUUAAGUAGACCGCCUGGGGAGUACGGCCGCAAGGUUAAAACUCAAAUGAAUUGACGGGGGCCCGCACAAGCGGUGGAGCAUGUGGUUUAAUUCGAUGCAACGCGAAGAACCUUACCUGGUCUUGACAUCCACAGAACUUUCCAGAGAUGGAUUGGUGCCUUCGGGAACUGUGAGACAGGUGCUGCAUGGCUGUCGUCAGCUCGUGUUGUGAAAUGUUGGGUUAAGUCCCGCAACGAGCGCAACCCUUAUCCUUUGUUGCCAGCGGUCCGGCCGGGAACUCAAAGGAGACUGCCAGUGAUAAACUGGAGGAAGGUGGGGAUGACGUCAAGUCAUCAUGGCCCUUACGACCAGGGCUACACACGUGCUACAAUGGCGCAUACAAAGAGAAGCGACCUCGCGAGAGCAAGCGGACCUCAUAAAGUGCGUCGUAGUCCGGAUUGGAGUCUGCAACUCGACUCCAUGAAGUCGGAAUCGCUAGUAAUCGUGGAUCAGAAUGCCACGGUGAAUACGUUCCCGGGCCUUGUACACACCGCCCGUCACACCAUGGGAGUGGGUUGCAAAAGAAGUAGGUAGCUUAACCUUCGGGAGGGCGCUUACCACUUUGUGAUUCAUGACUGGGGUGAAGUCGUAACAAGGUAACCGUAGGGGAACCUGCGGUUGGAUCACCUCCUUACCUGAAAGAA